This 28-nucleotide non-coding RNA is filed under the name Mus musculus (house mouse). Lineage: Eukaryota; Metazoa; Chordata; Mammalia; Rodentia; Muridae. The record is from RNAcentral.
UCCAAGUCAGAAGAUCAGGUAUGCCAGA